CUGAAAUCAGGCGGGAUUACCCGCUGAACUUAA
RNAcentral lists this ribosomal RNA (33 nucleotides) under Mucor circinelloides. RNAcentral describes it as "partial 28S ribosomal RNA". The record is from RNAcentral. Lineage: Eukaryota; Fungi; Mucoromycota; Mucoromycetes; Mucorales; Mucoraceae.